This is a long non-coding RNA of Acinonyx jubatus (cheetah), 3995 nucleotides long. RefSeq lists it as uncharacterized. The transcript has 2 exons. The record is from RefSeq and is a predicted model, not a curated record. Lineage: Eukaryota; Metazoa; Chordata; Mammalia; Carnivora; Felidae.
UCGGGGGGGGGGGGGUCAGGGAAGGGCGAGACGGUGCCUGGUUGCCCGAACGAUUACGUGAAGCGCGAGGGCACGAAGGUCAAGGCUCUGCCGGGUCGCGGUUUUGGUAAAACCGCUUUGGGGGCAAAGAGCAACAUCGGAGCGAAGUUGGGAGAGCUGAGGUUUUGAAUUGGGAGUUUGGGGGCGCCUGGAGAACGGCUCGGUUGGUUAAGGGUAUGACUUCAGCUCGAGUCGUGAUCUCCCAGUCCGCGGGUUCCAGUCCGGCAUCAGGGUCUGUGCUGCAGCUUGGAGCCUGGAGCCCGGAGCCUGCUUCGGACUGUGUCUCCCUCCCUCUCUGCCGUUUACCCCACUCAUGCUCUCUCAAAAAUGAAUAAACGUUAAAAAAAAAAAAAGAGUUUUAAUUCUUUCUUUCUUUCUUUUUUCCCCCUGCUAAUAAAUUACGGGAGGGCAGCAGAAGAGGCUUCAAGCCUUACGAAGCAGACCCCCUCCCACCUUCCUGGGAGUGGCUGCUUGGGCCAGGUGGCGGCAGUCCCCCCAUUUCCCUAGGUGUGUUUGGGCAUGCAGUGCAUUGGGGGUUGCGUGGCCCCUCAGCCCUGGCUGCACGGCCGUUCCUACCCCGGGCUGGGAAGGCAGUUUGGCCGUCUUUAUCUGCGGGGGGCUGCCUCUAUGGGGGCUGGGUGGCAGGAACUAGCAGUUUCAUUGAACUUCGUCUGCAAUCCUAGGUCAAUUUAAUGUCUGAAAAAAACGAUUGAAUGUGCUCAGGCAAAUUAGGAAAGAAAAACUUUUGUCUUUAUUGUCAUAAACAUUUUAAAGCACCUGCAUGAAUAAUGGAGAAAACACUAGAUUCAGCUCUAGCAGUGUGUCACUGUUGAUGGUAUUCUUUGGUCUGGUGUCACUGGUGUUGGGGUGAUAGAUCUUUGAGUUCAUGCAUAUUCUUUUUUUACAGUUUAUUUCUUUUUCUUUUUUUAAUUUUAACAUUUAUUUAUUUUUGAGACAAAGAGAGAGCGUGUGAGCAGGGGAGGGGCAGAGAGAGAGGGAGACACAGGCUCUGAAGCAGGCUCCAGGUUCUGAGCUGUCAGCCCAGAGCCGGAUGCGGGGCUGGAACUCACGAACCGUGAGAUUGACCUGAGCUGAAGUCGGACGCUUAACCAACUGAGCCACCCAGGGGCCCCACAAAUCUAUUUCUCUAUUUUGAGAGAAAGAGAGUGAGCAAGUGAGCGGGGGAGGGGCAGAGAAAGAGGGAGGGAGAGAGACUCCCAAGCAGGCUCUGCACUGGGAGCCAUAUGCGGGGCUUGAACUCCCGAACCUUGAGCCGAAAUCAAGAGUCCCACACUUAUCCGACUGAGCCACCCAGGUGCCCCCAGUUCACGCAUAUUCUGUAGAGUGCCAAGCGUGUGUGGUGCCAUACUAUGUGCUGUAGAACUCCUGGCAGCCCAGCCAGGCAGUGUGUGUGCGUGUGUUUGGGGUACUUUAAUUUCUACCUAACCUGUGGGUGAUGCUGAUGACUGCUUUAUAAACUAUGGUGGCCUUGUGGUUAAGGAUCUCAUAGUUGAAAUGGGCAGGGGUGGACUUCUGUAGGACGGGGCAUUGUCACUAGUACUUGCUUAGAGCCGCACCGGUUAGGUGGCUCCGGGAAUAGCCCUUCACCUGGCUGCUCAGUGCCUACUUCCCAGGCAAAUCGGAAGAUACCAUUUGGAGAGAGGACACCUGAUUUGUGAAGACAUAUAAGCCUCAAAUGAAGAAUCAGAUGAGCCUCUAAAGCUAAAGGCACACGCACUCAGGCGGGGUUUCUGUGAGCAGACAUGAUCCCUAGACAUCGGAGAAAGGAGACGUAAAAAUCUGCUCCGAGUCUAACGUAUUAAUCGUGGAAAGAGGGUGAACUGCAAGAGUUUAGAAGGGAGAAGGGCAGACCAGACUCCCGGAUGUCUCUAUCUGGCUAUUCUAUUUCAUCUUUGCACCCCUGUGAGGAGACAUUGCUGUCCCGGCUUUGUAGAAGAGGUACCUGAGGUGGAAGGACCUGCCAGAGUCCCAGACCUUUUAAGUAGCCCAGUUGGGAUCAGAUCUAAGGGUCAUGAAUGUAAAUCGUCCUCCUGUCCUCCAUACGGCAUUUGAAGUCUCGGGAAAGUCCAGGCAACUUGGACUUGGUUCUUGGAAAGGCUUCCCCUUUCUCCUCCUCCCCGCCAACCACUCACACUUUAGAAGCUGCAGGAAAUCCCGGGGGCCUCUUCGUGUUGACUUCAUUCCUCGGGCCAACCUGCCAUUGUAUUUCAUUGCCCGGUGGCAGGAACGGGGUCAGCCAUACAGCCAGACCGGCGGAUGAGAAUGGCUGUCUCCUCUUGAUGUGGACAUUGCAGAACGGACAUUGGCACCUCACCCACUGUCUUUCCAUCUUUCGAAGCAGAACGGCUCCGGGGAGUGAAGUCAGAAGCCAAGGCCAAGUGCAGGGCCAUUUAAAUCCAGCUCCCUCAGUUACUUCUCUUGCUCAAGGCGAGGCAGUAGAUUUUCCACCUGCAUGUAGCUUUCUCAGCGCAGACUUUCUAAGUCUGAACCUUGGCCUUGUCUGCUUGUCAGACACUGGCCAGAAUUAAGCAUGAUAUAAUGCAGAGAAGUCCGAGCCCCCUCCCCCCACCCCAAUAUUUCAAUUCAUUGCCUAGGGAGUGAGUCUUUGAAAUGGAUGUUAGGACUUUUAAAUGCUUCCUUGUAUACCAUAAAUGGGAAAAAGAAAGAAAGGAAGAAAGGAAGAAAGGAAGGAAGGAAGGAAGGAAGGAAGGAAGGAAGGAAGGAAGAAAGAAAGAAAGAAAGAAAGAAAGAAAGAAAGAAAAAGAAAGAGAAGUUCCCUCUAGGGUCUCACUAGGAACUGGGCUUCAGAGCACCUUUUAAAAAUAGUCUGAUCAUGCUUAUUUUUCCUUUCCAGAUCUUUUUUUUUUCCCACAAUAAAAGUAAAGUCCAUUUGAGGGAAGUAGCUGGAGAGAGUGAUGGCUGCUUUGAUCUGUGGGGCUUCACAUGUCUCUGCUUUGCCUCUUGAAUGUCUGUCCCACGACAUAAGGUCAACCCACAGACAUCAGUGCCGCCAGCAUCCUGGCCUCUCUGUUGUCAAGCAUGGAAUUGCGCUGCUGUGGAAACUGGAGAAAAUCUAUCCAGGCCCACGUUUUAGUCUGUGCUCAGUCUCUGAUUUGCUCUGGGUACUUGAGAAAGAUCUUGCUUUUGUACUGUUUUUAUUUCUAAUAUGAUUUGGACCUCCUUUUUUUUUUUUUUUUUUUUUUGGCUAUAUCAACCGCACCAGGAGGACAUCUGUUUUAUUACUACUUUGAAGACCCAAAUAUGUGGCUGUUCAUUUUCAUUUCAUUAAUUUCUCCUCUUUAUUAUUUGUUCUUGUUUCUUGGAUUUACUUUUGGUACGCUUCUUCUGAUUUACAUUCAAUCCAUAGCUCAGUUAUUUUCAGCCUUUCUUCUUUUCUAGUAUAAAUAUUUAAAGCUAUAGAUGUCCUUCUAUGUAUUUUUUUGACUGUAUCCGACAAGUUUUGAAAAGCUAAUUUUAAUAUUUCAUUCUCAGUAUUUGUAAUUUCCAUUAUUGUUUUCUCUUUGGCCCAUGAUUUAUUUAGAGGCUUGUUUUAAACUUUCAACUGUGUGCUGAUGCUUUUAUCUUUUAAUUGUUGACUUUUAAUUGUUGUUUAAUUGUUUAACUUUGGAACGGUCGGAGAACAAGGUCUGUGUGACACGGCCUCUUUAGACUUUAUCGAAACUUGCUUUUUGGCCUUUAAGAGGUCGAUUUUCAUAAAUGUUCCCUGCGUGCUCCACAAAAAUGUACAGUCUUGGGACACAUGGGUGGCUCAGUAGGUUGAGCGUCAGACUUCAGCUCAGGUCAUGAUCUUGCAGUUUGUGGGUUCGAGUCCCAUGUCUGCGCUGACAGCAUGGCUCCUGGAGCCUGCUUCAGAUUCUGUGUCUCCCUCUCUCUCGGCCCCUGCCCCCCUCCCUUGUGCUCUGUCUGUCUCUCUC